Molecule: long non-coding RNA, 3207 nt
Filed under: Brassica napus (rape)
Lineage: Eukaryota; Viridiplantae; Streptophyta; Magnoliopsida; Brassicales; Brassicaceae
Description: long non-coding RNA (BNAP_LNC006878)
Source: RNAcentral
AUUAAUGUUAUGGUCUUUCUUUGGUUAGGGGGUCAUACAUUUGGUAAGAAUCAAUGCCGGUUCAUUAUGGACAGAUUAUACAACUUCAGCAACACCGGUUUACCUGAUCCUACCCUCAACACUACUUACCUCCAAACUCUUCGUGGACUAUGUCCACGUACCGGUAACCUAAGCGCCUUGGUGGAUUUUGAUCUGCGUACACCUACGGUUUUCGACAACAAAUACUAUGUGAAUCUAAGAGAACAGAAAGGUCUUAUCCAGAGCGACCAAGAAUUGUUCUCUAGUCCUAAUGCUACUGACACAAUCCCCUUGGUAAGAGCAUAUGCUGAUGGCACACAAACAUUCUUCAAUGCGUUUGUGGAGGCGAUGAAUAGGAUGGGAAACAUUACACCUCUUACGGGAACUCAAGGACAGAUCAGGCUGAACUGUAGGAUGGUGAAUUCCAACUCUCUACUCCAUGACGUUGUUGAUAUCGUUGAUUUUGUUAGCUCUAUGUGAGAAUAGUGACUCAAUAUGUGGCUACCAAAAAUAUAUAUAAGAUAAAUAAAGCGCUCUCAAGCUGUUACUUGAGAUUAUUUUAUUUUAAAUCAUUGGCUGUUGUCUCACACUGUAAUCGGAGAUGACAAAAGUUUACUGUCUCAGACAUUAUCUCUGCGAAAACGGCAUGUUUUGGUAAAACUUUACUAUCAAAUGGUUUUAAAGCAUGUGAUCAGAGGCGAAUCUAGAACACAUUUUUAGUGGAGGCACCAAAUAUUUGAAAAAAAUAGAAGUAUGAAUUAAGGUAAAAACAUAACUAAAUUUAAAAUUUUAGAAUGAGAAGAGGGGCAAUUGAACUGCUUCUUUAAGAUUUUAACGGGUGCACCUUUAACCAUUUAGUCCAAAUACCAUCAAAUUACUUAAACAAAUCUCAUUUUCAGAAAUUAUGGGUGCAAGUGCACCCAACACUAUCAUAGUAGCUUCACCCCUGAUGUGAUUGUGUAUAUGACUUGCUCUUUAGAUUAUAAAGAAAGAAAGAAAAAAAGACUUACUCUUUAAAUUAGGUUUAUAGCCGAAGUGAACAUUGGUGGCUUGUACUAUCACUACAAAAAAGAUAGUCUUGCAUCAUUUAUUUUGAAUAUUUGCAUUAGUUAUAAAUGAUGUAAAAGAGUUUUACAUCACUUAAAAAAGUGAAUCUGAAAGUAGUGAUGCAAAUAAUUUACAUCAAUUAUUGCCACCAGCUCUCUUUGGGACCCUCUCCAGCUCUCUUUGGGUGUUGCCACCAAACCAUGAGGACGGAGAAGAUGAUGGCGUCUAAAAGUUUAUGUCGCUCUGCUUAUUCUUAUUCAAAUCAUUAUCUCCCUCCUUGUUUUGUUUCUUGCAUCACAUGAAAACUGCACUUGCAGCAAUAAAUAUGCAGAGGCAUCCAAGAAACAUGUCCCAGAGCGAUCUGUAAGUGAAGUUGUAAACAUUUCCUGUACGGUCCACAGGGUACAUGUAAUAGCGUCUGACGAUGGCUAUGAGAAGUAGAAACAUUGUGAAUGAUGUCAAGAUCACAACACCAAGCCAUAGUAAGCUGUUGGGUCCAAGAACAUGUGAGAUGGGUGAAUCUUAUUGUUCGGUUUGAACCAUUUGGUCUUCACAUGAUUUCCAUCAGCGGAUGUUGUUGUUUGCGGCUCGUUAUCCCUUGUUACGUAGGCUUCUAUUUGAAGCUUCAACUUAAAAAUAUCUGAGACUGAUAUGCCUGAGGGAGGGAAGAUUAGGUCUAAAAGGGAAAGAUCUUGGUAAUGUUUGAAGGAGCAAACAAGAAGAAGAUCUGGUAGCUUCGUGGUCAAUAAUAUUUUGAAAAUUUAAAAGGGUUGUGAUGCAUCGAUCUUGUUAGACAACACGACAUCAUUCCGAACAGAGAAAGAUGCAGCUGGAAAUGCAAACUCGGCUCGGGGAUUUCCUGUGAUUGAUAGAAUGAAAGCCGCAGUGGAGAGGGCAUGCCCGAGAACCGUUUCAUGCGCAGAUAUGCUCACCAUCGCAGCUCAACAAUCUGUCACUUUGGUAUGUUCCAUUGAUUCGUUUUCUUUUAUUCAUUAUUACAAAUACUGUUUUGAAUUAAGAAUAUCAACAAGAAAACCUGAUUUUGUUUUGAAAAAAUUGGUUGAGAACUAAAUAUUGAAAACGCGUGAUGACGUGACAUAUAAGAUUGGAAAACAGAAUUUGUAAAAUAAAUUAUAAUCUAUAUUUAGUAUCAAUUUUUCACAUGCGACACAGACACUGUUUUUUUCUUUCUUUUCUUUGACACAGACACAGUUAUGCAAAACUAAUCGGAAAUAUUUAAAACGCGUUGUCCCGUGAAGAAAAACUUGGCAUGUUUAAUAUAGAUCAUUGACAAAAUUAAAUACCAUUACUUGAUUAGAUAAGACCACUUUUAUAGGUAACCCAUGAUAAUAGUUAUCAUAUUUUUUAAGAAAUACUGGAGAUGAAAAACUUUGCUUUAAAUGUAUAAUCAAUGGAAUUAAUUACAUGUUUGUCCUUUUCCAUUUUCUCCUUGAAAAUUCCGAAUAAUAAGAAUAAUGAAUAAUCUCUGUAACAUUGGAACAAAAUUCUCUGAAAACAAUAAUUAUUCUGAAUAUAAAGGUUUCUAUAUCAUACUGUAUUAUAUAGGCAGGAGGCCCUGCAUGGAGGGUUCCUUUGGGGAGAAGAGACAGCUUACAAGCGUUUCUGAAUCUAGCUAAUGCUAAUCUUCCAGCUCCAUUCUUCACACUUCCACAACUUAAAGCCAGCUUUAGAAACGUUGGCCUCGACCGUCCUUCUGAUCUCGUUGCUCUUUCCGGUAAUUGACAAAAACUUAUUAAAUACAGAUGGUAUAUAGUUGAAACUAGCGAGUUUAUUAUUAAUGUUAUGGUCUUUCUUUGGUUAGGGGGUCAUACAUUUGGUAAGAAUCAAUGCCGGUUCAUUAUGGACAGAUUAUACAACUUCAGCAACACCGGUUUACCUGAUCCUACCCUCAACACUACUUACCUCCAAACUCUUCGUGGACUAUGUCCACGUACCGGUAACCUAAGCGCCUUGGUGGAUUUUGAUCUGCGUACACCUACGGUUUUCGACAACAAAUACUAUGUGAAUCUAAGAGAACAGAAAGGUCUUAUCCAGAGCGACCAAGAAUUGUUCUCUAGUCCUAAUGCUACUGACACAAUCCCCUUGGUAAGAGCAUAUGCUGAUGGCACACAAACAUUCUUC